CCUACGGGAGGCAGCAGUAGGGAAUCUUCCGCAAUGGACGAAAGUCUGACGGAGCAACGCCGCGUGAACGAUGAAGGCCUUCGGGUCGUAAAGUUCUGUUGUUAGGGAAGAACAAGUGCUAGUUAAAUAAGCUGGCACCUUGACGGUACCUAACCAGAAAGCCACGGCUAACUACGUGCCAGCAGCCGCGGUAAUACGUAGGUGGCAAGCGUUGUCCGGAAUUAUUGGGCGUAAAGCGCGCGCAGGCGGUUUCUUAAGUCUGAUGUGAAAGCCCCCGGCUCAACCGGGGAGGGUCAUUGGAAACUGGGAAACUUGAGUGCAGAAGAGGAAAGUGGAAUUCCAAGUGUAGCGGUGAAAUGCGUAGAGAUUUGGAGGAACACCAGUGGCGAAGGCGACUUUCUGGUCUGUAACUGACGCUGAGGCGCGAAAGCGUGGGGAGCAAACAGGAUUAGAUACCCUGGUAGUCCACGCUGUAAACGAUGAGUGCUAAGUGUUAGAGGGUUUCCGCCCUUUAGUGCUGAAGUUAACGCAUUAAGCACUCCGCCUGGGGAGUACGGUCGCAAGACUGAAACUUAAAUGAAUUGA
RNAcentral lists this ribosomal RNA (585 nucleotides) under uncultured bacterium. RNAcentral's name for it is "bacterial SSU rRNA". It matches the Rfam family "Bacterial small subunit ribosomal RNA", at positions 338 to 913 of the family's 1533-position model. The record is from RNAcentral.